RNAcentral lists this transfer RNA (74 nucleotides) under Candidatus Riesia sp. RNAcentral's name for it is "tRNA-Ile". It matches the Rfam family "tRNA". Rfam says of the family: Transfer RNA (tRNA) molecules are approximately 80 nucleotides in length. Their secondary structure includes four short double-helical elements and three loops (D, anti-codon, and T loops). Lineage: Bacteria; Pseudomonadati; Pseudomonadota; Gammaproteobacteria; Enterobacterales; Enterobacteriaceae. The record is from RNAcentral.
GGGCCUGUAGCUCAGCUGGUUAGAGCAGAAGACUCAUAAUCUUUUGGUCGCAGGUUCAAAUCCUGCCAGGCCUA